Molecule: non-coding RNA, 377 nt
Organism: Anolis sagrei ordinatus
Lineage: Eukaryota; Metazoa; Chordata; Lepidosauria; Squamata; Anolidae
Source: RefSeq, a predicted model, not a curated record
UGUUUGUAUACAAGAGCGCGCGUGCUUCCCUUUCUUCCGCUUCUGAACCAUAAAAGUUCCCCCUUCUUUCUUUUUUCCUUCCCUUUUUUUUCUGUCCCCCUUCCCCUUGGAGCCCCCGGUGGCGCAGUGGGUUAAACCGCUGAGCUGCUGAACUUGCUGGUUGAAAGGUCGCAGGUUCGAAUCCGGGGAGCGGCAUGAGCCCCAGCUUCUGCCCACCUAGCAGUUCGAAAACAUGCAAAUCUAUUCAAGAAACCUGUUCCAACUCUUGAUUGAUUGGAAAUAGUCCAUCAAGGAUGUGUGGUCCAGUUGGAGCAGCUUCGCUGAUUGGCCCUUGCUGGUGGCAGGAAAUCCAAUAAACUGUCAUUGGAGCAUUUGAA